UGAGACUUUGUGUGCAUCUCGUUUGCUGGAUAUGUCCAUGAAUGGAAAAAGGCAUAGAAGCAAGACAAGGGGAAGCCCCAAUGGAUGCUGAACUCUCUUUGGAUUAGUCUUAUUGCUUUUUGGGAAAACGAGAAAAGCAUCAAGAGAAGCAAAGCCAACUCCAAAAUAAGAAGAGCGAUCUUGGUGGCUUAGGGAUAGCUAAGCAUACAUGUGGGUCAAUUUCAUAUGUCCGGAGAAGAGAAGAGAUGGUAAUUUGUAUUAUUUUUGC
Molecule: long non-coding RNA, 268 nt
Organism: Arabidopsis thaliana (thale cress)
Lineage: Eukaryota; Viridiplantae; Streptophyta; Magnoliopsida; Brassicales; Brassicaceae
Product: other RNA
Exons: 1
Source: RefSeq